Molecule: RNA transcript, 3024 nt
Organism: Nymphaea colorata (pocket water lily)
Lineage: Eukaryota; Viridiplantae; Streptophyta; Magnoliopsida; Nymphaeales; Nymphaeaceae
Exons: 2
Source: RefSeq, a predicted model, not a curated record
UUCCCUUUCACAACCUGAAUGUGUCCAUAAAAGCAUAAGGUUGCAGAUUUUGUGGGUUUAUGACUGCUACCUUUUAUACAUCACCAAAUGAGACAUAAAUGAUAUUCACGAUUUAUUUAAAUAAAGAGGUUGAUGCCAUGCUUUGGGCGAUUCUAAAUUCCAAAAAUCGUGAUGCUAAUACUAGCUCUAGGAAUAAUUAACAUAUGAAUUUAACUAGUUUAGCAGGUUUUCUUGUUGUAUCAAACUAUGUGUUAACAUAUCAUGUGUAGGGAACCGGGUCUGGAUCCAGACCCGGUCCCAUGGGCACGGGUACCGAGAGUGGCUCGGUACCCUAGGCGUUUUUCCCUCUUAUUUAAUCCCACUUAUAGUGUAAUUGUUGAUUAAGUGGAAUAACAUUUUCUCUUUCCUAGGGUUGCGGUUGUGCACCUAGGUUAGAGCUUCUCCGUGGUUUUUCACCUCUCUUUGAGGUUUUCCACGUAUAUUGUGUGGUCCUUCUCUUUCUCUCCAUCUUGGUGUGUGUUUCUACAUGGUAUCAGAGCCAACGCGUGAGAGAUCGUUGGUGUGAUAGUCGUGUUUCUGCCGUUUUUUGCCGUUGCUGUUUCCGCCGUUUUUUUUCUCUGCCGCUGUUGCGCCGCCGCCGUCCAGCGCUGCCAGCUGCGCCGCCACCGUCCAGUGCUGCCACCUGCGCCGCCAUCGUCCAGCGCGGUUGUUCUCUGCUGCGUUGCCGCGGUCCAGCGCCGCCGUCGCCCACUUCAGCGCCGCCGUCGCCACUUCAGCGCCAUCGCCGUCCCGCGCCACUGCUGCCCACCGCCGUCGCUCUCUCCCGCACCGCCGCUGCCUCUUGUUUGUCGUCUCUGGUGCUGGGUAUUCUUUCUCCUUGGUGAUUGUGAUGGCCGAGGAGAUGUCCCUCAAGAUCGAUGAUGCCCUAGACUCGGGCAGCAAUACCAAGAGCGAGAUCUUGCCUGUUCAAGUCACCUCCAUCCGGCUGAACAAGGAUAACUAUCUCUCUUGGUCGGCUGCCCUAGAAAUUGGGAUAACCAAUCGUGGUCGCCUGCCCUACAUCACUGGGGAGAAGCCUGCACCUUCAAAAACCGAUCCGCGAUGGGCUACUUGGACGUUGGAAGAUAGUCAGGUUAAAGUAUGGAUUAUUAGUUCUGUUUCUGCAGAUAUUCAACCUUUGAUCUUGCGUAAAUCGACUGCCUACGACAUGCGGACUGUACUUGCACGGAUGUAUGGCCGUAAGAAGAGAGUAUUGCGUACGUACCAAAUCAAACGUAGCAUAUACUCUCUUAAACAGGGUGACUUGUCUGUAGCCGCUUUCUUUGCAGCCCUAAAGACUAAGUGGGAGGAACUUGACUACCAUGUGAAUGAUGACUGGCACUGUGGGUCUGAUCAUGCCUUGUACUGGGACAAAGAGUGGAUGGAUCGGACGUUUCUUUUCCUCGGAGGCUUACGCGAUGAAUUUGAAUCCAUUAGGAGCCAAAUUUUCAAUUGUGACGAGGUCCCCGGAAUUGAAGAGGUGUAUGCCCGUGUGGAAUCUGAGGAACAGCGUCGACAGGUGAUGCAUAUUGACACCAGUCAGGGGAGUUCUCCUUCAGCCUUUGUUAGUCGUGCUUCUGGGAUUGGACAGCGUCCUGUUCGGCGGUGUAGCCAUUGCAACAAAUCAGGACAUUCUGUUCAUUUUUGUUGGGAUCUUCAUCCUGAGAGGCGGCUUGUCCGGGGUCGUCCUCCUUCUAGCCGCCGGAGUCCUUCUGUGCCUGAGCCUAGUCAGAGUAGUCCUUCAAAUGUUGCCAAAUCUAAGCUUUCCUCCGAUCAAAUCAAAGAACUGCAAGCGUAUAUCAGCCGGCUGUCUACUACUCAGGAGGAACUUCCACGUUUGAGGGGGCUAAGUUAGCCCAACCUCUCGUGGCCACUAGUGACCAAGGUAAUUCCUCACAUGGUGAUUGGAUUGUUGACAGUGGUGCUACGCAUCAUAUGACAGGGGACCCUAAGAUGUUCCAAGAAUACAAAUUGUCUUCGGGGCAGCAACGUGUAUCUAUGGCUGAUGGUUCUUCUAUCUCUGUGGCUGGACUUGGUGACGGGGCAGAAGAUUGGGAUUGGUUCGGCUAUUGAUGGACUCUACAGACUGCCUGUGCAGGUUGCGUCCGCUCUUAUUUCAGCCACUAGUGGACAGUUGUCAGGCAUGGAAGACAGAUCUACUAUUAUGCGAUGGCACGAGCGGCUUGGUCAUCUUCCGUUUCCAUUGAUUAAGAAGUUGUUUCCUAGUUUGUUUCAUUUUGUUUCCAUGGACUCCUUCACCUGUGAAGUGUGUCAGUUAGCUAAACAUGUUAGGGCCUCGUACCCUAUUUCAUUCAAUAAAACCACUCGUCCAUUUGCUUUGGUUCAUUCUGAUGUUUGGGGUCCUUCGGGAGUACCCACUUGUCGUGGUUUUCAUUACUUUAUGACCCUUAUUGAUGAUUACUCCCGUUGUACGUUCGUGUAUCUGUUGAAAGAACGUAGUGAAGUUCCCGUUAUUGUAAAAAAUUUUGUGGCCUUUGUUGAGACUCAGUUUCAGACGUCUGUCCAAGCUUUUCGCACCGAUAAUGCUAGAGAGUAUGUCUCUCAAUCCCUAGAUGAUUUCUUGAAGAGCAAGGGUAUUGUCCAUGAAACGUCAUGUAGUUACACACCUCCCCAAAAUGGCGUGGCUGAACGAAAGAAUCGCCAUUUGCUUGAUGUUACUCGGGCUCUUCUGUUCCAUCGACAGGUUCCCAAGCGCUACUGGGGUGAUGCGCUUCUCACUAGUGCCCACCUUAUCAACCGUAUGCCUACCCGUGUGUUGCAGGGCUAUUCCCCGUACUCUAUGCUUUGGCCUUCUCAGAAUCCCUGGCCUCUUACUCCUCGGGUGUUCGGGUGUGUCUGUUUUGUUCAUGACCAUAGUCCCACCCUCAAGAAACUUGAUCCUCGGUCUGUCAAGGCUGUCUUCCUGGGGUAUUCCUCCACUCAGAAGGGAUACAAAUGUGUUGAUCCUACCACCUCUAAAGUCUA